This 291-nucleotide long non-coding RNA is filed under the name Mytilus galloprovincialis (Mediterranean mussel). The record is from RNAcentral. Lineage: Eukaryota; Metazoa; Mollusca; Bivalvia; Mytilida; Mytilidae.
GGGGCGUGUGACUUAUACGCCGCCUGGAUUCCUCACAAAUGUGAUAUAACUAAAUCGUAUACCAACUUAGAAUUUUUAGUAGAAAUAAGAAAACAGCGACACCCGCGAAAUUGGAUGUAUAUGAGAAGGAUUAUCAUGUUUAAUCUAAAAAUUCACAUUGGUAAUUUAGAAUCGUCGAAAUGCAAGACCGAGGAAUGCAAAUUCAUGGCGGCUUGAACUAUUUGUAUGAGGCUUCAUAUGUAAGAAAUGAGAAGGCCUGACUGCAAUAAACCUCGCACACAGAUAUUUUGC